AACGCGAAGAACCUUACCAAGGUUUGACAUGCAGGGAAAAGCCGUAGAGAUACGGUGUCCGUAAGGGUCCUGCACAGGUGGUGCAUGGCUGUCGUCAGCUCGUGUCGUGAGGUGUUGGGUUAAGUCCCGCAACGAGCGCAACCCUUGUCGUUAGUUGCCAACAGUUCGGCUGGGAACUCUAACGAGACUGCCUGGGUUAACCAGGAGGAAGGUGAGGAUGACGUCAAGUCAGCAUGGCCCUUAUGUCCAGGGCUACACACGUGCUACAAUGGUCGGUACAGAGGGCAGCAAAAUCGAGAGAUCAAGCAAAUCCCAAAAAGCCGGCCCCAGUUCGGAUUGUAGUCUGCAACUCGACUACAUGAAGUCGGAAUUGCUAGUAAUGGCGUGUCAGCAAUAGCGCCGUGAAUACGUUCCCGGGCCUUGUACACACCGACUGUAC
RNAcentral lists this ribosomal RNA (439 nucleotides) under uncultured bacterium. RNAcentral describes it as "bacterial SSU rRNA". It matches the Rfam family "Bacterial small subunit ribosomal RNA", at positions 958 to 1399 of the family's 1533-position model. The record is from RNAcentral.